UGCACAGUAGUUCAGUGGCAGAACGACCGCCUGUUAAGCGGAGAGUCGCAGGUUCGAACCCUGCCUGUGCAGCCA
Molecule: transfer RNA, 75 nt
Filed under: Candidatus Obscuribacterales bacterium
Lineage: Bacteria; Bacillati; Candidatus Melainabacteria; Candidatus Obscuribacterales
Also listed under: 1 other name
Description: tRNA-Asn
Rfam family: tRNA
About the family: Transfer RNA (tRNA) molecules are approximately 80 nucleotides in length. Their secondary structure includes four short double-helical elements and three loops (D, anti-codon, and T loops).
Source: RNAcentral